Molecule: ribosomal RNA, 785 nt
Filed under: uncultured Clostridium sp.
Lineage: Bacteria; Bacillati; Bacillota; Clostridia; Eubacteriales; Clostridiaceae
Description: bacterial SSU rRNA
Rfam family: Bacterial small subunit ribosomal RNA
Source: RNAcentral
ACUGACGCUGAGUCCCGAAAGCGUGGGGAGCAAAUAGGAUUAGAUACCCUAGUAGUCCACGCCGUAAACGAUGAGUACUAAGUGUUGGGGGUCGAACCUCAGUGCUGCAGUUAACGCAAUAAGUACUCCGCCUGAGUAGUACGUUCGCAAGAAUGAAACUCAAAGGAAUUGACGGGGGCCCGCACAAGCGGUGGAGCAUGUGGUUUAAUUCGAAGCAACGCGAAGAACCUUACCAGGUCUUGACAUAUAUCUAAAGGCUCCAGAGAUGGAGAGAUAGUUAUAGAUAUACAGGUGGUGCAUGGUUGUCGUCAGCUCGUGUCGUGAGAUGUUGGGUUAAGUCCCGCAACGAGCGCAACCCUUGUCGUUAGUUACCAUCAUUAAGUUGGGGACUCUAACGAGACUGCCAGUGAUAAGCUGGAGGAAGGCGGGGAUGACGUCAAAUCAUCAUGCCCCUUAUGACCUGGGCUACACACGUGCUACAAUGGAUAGUGCAAAGGGAAGCGAGACCGCGAGGUGGAGCAAAACCCAUAAAACUAUUCUCAGUUCGGAUUGUAGUCUGCAACUCGACUACAUGAAGUUGGAAUCGCUAGUAAUCGUGAAUCAGCAUGUCACGGUGAAUACGUUCUCGGGCCUUGUACACACCGCCCGUCACACCAUGAGAGUUGAUAACACCCGAAGCCGGUGGCCUAACCGCAAGGAAGGAGCUGUCUAAGGUGGGAUUGAUGAUUAGGGUGAAGUCGUAACAAGGUAUCCCUACGGGAACGUGCGGCUGGAUCACGGACCUU